Molecule: long non-coding RNA, 592 nt
Filed under: Homo sapiens (human)
Lineage: Eukaryota; Metazoa; Chordata; Mammalia; Primates; Hominidae
Description: HSALNT0147784
Source: RNAcentral
CCGCUAUCACACCAGUCGACCCAAGAAAAAGUGAAUGAAAACUUUGAUCAUCUCAUCUCCAUUGUGCUAUGUACUCCAUCCCAAAUCUCCUGAUGUGGAAUAUCAUCCUCACAUGUCUUCUUACAUAAUGGGCCAGGGUUAUGCGAUGAAAAGUCAGUAGAAGUAGAUUGAAUUUAGAGUGUGCUCUAAAUUCAAUGUGGAGAAAUUUGGACACAGAGGCAGACACACAGGGAGAACCCCGUGUGACAAUGGAGGAAGAGGAUGCAUUUAUGCUGCCACAAGCCAAGGAACACCAAAGAUUGUCAGCAGCCACCAGAAGCUAGGAUAAAGGCAUGGCACAUCACUCCCUCUGAGCCCCCAAAAGGAGCCAAGACUGCUAAUACUCUGAUCUCGGACUUCUGGCCUGAAACAGUGAGAGAAUAAGGUUCUGUUGUUUCAAGCUACCCAGCUUGCGGUAUUUUGUCACAGAAGCACAAGGAAUCAAGUACAUUUUCUUUCUCAGCACUUGUGAUAAUUUGAUUUUUUCUUUACUCAGUGGUUGUUUCACACCUAUGUCCCCAUCAGACUGUAAGCUUAAAGAGACCUGGAUCUG